Long non-coding RNA from Mauremys reevesii (Reeves's turtle), 1903 nucleotides. RefSeq lists it as uncharacterized. Lineage: Eukaryota; Metazoa; Chordata; Testudines; Geoemydidae. The record is from RefSeq and is a predicted model, not a curated record. The transcript has 4 exons.
CUCUGAUUUAAGAUUAAAGAAGUGAAAGCAUCAUCUCCAAGCACAGACAGCUGAGAACUGUUCCUCACAGGACACUUUGAGAAGUGCAUGGGUAGAAUGUGAUGAAGAUAAACUCUGCAUGGCUCAGAAAAAAGAGAUAAGUGUGAAGGCCAUCGUUGAACCAGAUGUACAAGGGAGGAACCGGAGACUGACACAAGGGCUCCAGAAGCCUGCAACACACUCCUAGUGAAAUGUCAGAGGAGGGCAGAUUGACGACUCUAAAGAUGAGACAGGCACCUAUCAGUGGGGACAAGACAGCUGUGACCAAAAACCAGCCUGGGAGAACUCCCUGAGGAACUUGAUGAAAGAACAAGAUAAAGGAUGAGAAGGACAAUUUAAGAAAAUAAGCACUCGUCAAACAACAAUUGAUUACAAUACGACGGUGCAAAACUCAUUGGUCUCAAUUAAGGAAAAUCAGUAUAUAAACAAGGUGCCUUGCCAUGAAACUCUGGGUUCGACCUGCCAAGACUUGCCCAAAGCAUCGUGUCAUGACUAGCAGAACCCGGCUCCUCCCUACCCGUGAUCAACCUUGCUGGCCGCUAGAUUGAUCCGGACUCUGGACUGGUAACUAUAACAUACACUGGCGGGACAGUAUGUUUGUGUGUGGUGUGACUAAAUGGAAAUACUAAUUGUUGUUUCUUCAAUAAAUGCAGCAUAUUGACUUUUCCCCUGAAAAAGAUCCCACGUGCUUCUUAUAAGCAUAACACUUUUGAUGGAAAAUUGCAAAAGGCUGAAGACAUGGACUGUGAUUGUUGAACAUACUGCUAAAUAUUGCUAAAAGGUGGUGAGAAUGGAGUAGUGGGCACUGCCGGGGGGCAGUGUCGUGAAGCAGGUGUCGCCGAGCAGGGAACAACACGGGUCCAAAAUCAGCAGAGCAGACAACGGGCAAGACACCACACACAGAGGGCACUUCAUGGCUGGCGAGAGCUAAUUCCCAGACUGACCAGCAGGAGGCAUCAUGGUGAUCGCUGUGUGUUUUAGAAGCAGGAGUGAAAAGUAAUCAAAACUCUGGAAGUUGAUUGUGUCCCUUUUAAGACAGAGUCUCUAAGCUGCUAAUGGCUUUAAAUCCAAAAGCAAGCCAAAAAGUGUCUGCGUUAAUGCAAAUUACCUAACUGGUAAAGGAAGAAAAGAACUGCCCAAAAAUUGUAGCACAAAGAAGUCAAACCAAAGGACAAGACGGGAGACAGGUAGAUCAGAGGAAGAUAAGGAUACUAGUAGAAAUGCCGGCCCCUACCGACGUCCACUCUUUAAGAAUACUGCUAGGAGGAGUCAAUUUUCUUAGACCUCAUCUAUAAAUAUGCUAAAAUAAUUCACCCACUGUGGAAACUAAUUAAAAAAAAAGACAAAAUGGGAAUGUGGAAAAGAGCAGGACUCUGCUUUAACCCUGCUAAAAGCAAAGGCUCUCACAACCCCAGCCCUGCGUUUCCCUGAUGAAUCACAGCCUUUUGUUAAAAAACAAAUGAAUGUUUGGCAGCUAAUAACAUGGCCAUGGCUGCCACACUAUUACAGAAUAUUUAAAAAGGGAACCUUUAAAUGGAGGAAAGGUGUCACUCACUAGAAUCAAAAUGGACAGGCCCUUACUCCAUGGUGGAUCGCCUUAGCCCAUUGGUAUAACUGCAUUUAAAAAAUAAAAAUGGAAAUGGAUACGUGUUUCACAAAUUAAACUGUUUAUAUAAACAAUGUUUGAAUUCUUUGCAGAAAAGGACAUCCCAGAACCUGAGCACGAGUUGCUGCUUCACCACCACAAUUUUAAUCCUUCCAGUGUCACAGAGGCUGAAAUGACACUUUUUUUCCCCUGUCCUGCUCCUCUCCAUUUACAUAUAAUUUGAAAAGUUCCCAAUAUAACUGUUCUUCAGCACAACCC